GAUGAAGAACGUAGCGAAAUGCGAUAAGUAAUGUGAAUUGCAGAAUUCAGUGAAUCAUCGAAUCUUUGAACGCACAUUGCGCCCCCUGGUAUUCCGGGGGGCAUGCCUGUUCGAGCGUCAUUUCACCACUCAAGCCUCGCUUGGUGUUGAGGCCUGCUGUCAAGGCAGCCUCUAAAAUCAGUGGCAGUGCUGUCAGGCUCUAAGCGUAGUAAAUCUAAUCGCUAUAGACACCUGGUGGACACUCGCCAGAACCCCCCCCAUUUUUUAAUGAUUGACCUCGGAUUAGGUAGGGAUACCCGCUGAACUUAAGCAUAUCAAUAAGCGGAGGA
Molecule: unclassified non-coding RNA, 329 nt
Filed under: soil metagenome
Description: partial contains 5.8S ribosomal RNA, internal transcribed spacer 2, and large subunit ribosomal RNA
Rfam family: 5.8S ribosomal RNA (bases 1-120)
Source: RNAcentral